Molecule: non-coding RNA, 88 nt
Organism: Ascosphaera atra
Lineage: Eukaryota; Fungi; Ascomycota; Eurotiomycetes; Onygenales; Ascosphaeraceae
Source: the annotation of a GenBank genome assembly
GGGGGGAUGGCUCAGUGGUAAGGGCUGUGCCUGGCCGGCCUCAGGACUGCACCACCUGGGGCAGUGGGUUCAAUUCCCACUCCUUCCA